GGCGCUGUAGCCAAGUGGUUAAAACGACAGAUUGGAAUGCCCCAUUUGACUACCUCUCAAUUUAUUCCUCUUUGAGAGCGCAGGAACGAAUCCUGCUGGCGUCG
Rhodocollybia butyracea is the source of this 104-nucleotide non-coding RNA. The record is from the annotation of a GenBank genome assembly. Lineage: Eukaryota; Fungi; Basidiomycota; Agaricomycetes; Agaricales; Omphalotaceae.